RNAcentral lists this ribosomal RNA (434 nucleotides) under uncultured bacterium. RNAcentral's name for it is "partial 16S ribosomal RNA". It matches the Rfam family "Bacterial small subunit ribosomal RNA", at positions 29 to 507 of the family's 1533-position model. The record is from RNAcentral.
AGCGAACGCUGGCGGCAGGCCUAACACAUGCGAGUCGAACGAACCUUUCGGGGUUAGUGGCGGACGGGUGAGUAACACGUGGGAACGUGCCUUUAGGUUCGGAAUAACUCAGGGAAACUUGUGCUAAUACCGAAUGUGCCCUUCGGGGGAAAGAUUUAUCGCCUUUAGAGCGGCCCGCGUCUGAUUAGCUAGUUGGUUGAGGUAAUGGCUCACCAAGGCGACGAUCAGUAGCUGGUCUGAGAGGAUGAUCAGCCACAUUGGGACUGAGACACGGCCCAAACUCCUACGGGAGGCAGCAGUGGGGAAUCUUGCGCAAUGGGCGAAAGCCUGACGCAGCCAUGCCGCGUGAAUGAUGAAGGUCUUAGGAUUGUAAAAUUCUUUCACCGGGGACGAUAAUGACGGUACCCGGAGAAGAAGCCCCGGCUAACUUCGUG